Molecule: ribosomal RNA, 252 nt
Filed under: uncultured bacterium
Lineage: Bacteria
Description: partial 16S ribosomal RNA
Rfam family: Bacterial small subunit ribosomal RNA
Source: RNAcentral
UACGUAGGGUGCAAGCGUUAAUCGGAAUUACUGGGCGUAAAGCGUGCGCAGGCGGUGAUGUAAGACAGAUGUGAAAUCCCCGGGCUCAACCUGGGAACUGCAUUUGUGACUGCAUCGCUAGAGUACGGCAGAGGGGGAUGGAAUUCCGCGUGUAGCAGUGAAAUGCGUAGAUAUGCGGAGGAACACCGAUGGCGAAGGCAAUCCCCUGGGCCUGUACUGACGCUCAUGCACGAAAGCGUGGGGAGCAACAGG